Molecule: ribosomal RNA, 576 nt
Filed under: uncultured bacterium
Lineage: Bacteria
Description: partial 16S ribosomal RNA
Rfam family: Bacterial small subunit ribosomal RNA
Source: RNAcentral
UGGGGAAUAUUGCACAAUGGGCGCAAGCCUGAUGCAGCCAUGCCGCGUGUGUGAAGAAGGCCUUCGGGUUGUAAAGCACUUUCAGCGAGGAGGAAGGUGGUGAGCUUAAUACGCUCAUCAAUUGACGUUACUCGCAGAAGAAGCACCGGCUAACUCCGUGCCAGCAGCCGCGGUAAUACGGAGGGUGCAAGCGUUAAUCGGAAUUACUGGGCGUAAAGCGCACGCAGGCGGUUUGUUAAGUCAGAUGUGAAAUCCCCGGGCUCAACCUGGGAACUGCAUUUGAAACUGGCAAGCUAGAGUCUCGUAGAGGGGGGUAGAAUUCCAGGUGUAGCGGUGAAAUGCGUAGAGAUCUGGAGGAAUACCGGUGGCGAAGGCGGCCCCCUGGACGAAGACUGACGCUCAGGUGCGAAAGCGUGGGGCAGCAAACAGGAUUAGAUACCCUGGUAGUCCACGCUGUAAAACGAUGUCGAUUUUGGAGGUUGUGCCCUUGAGGCGUGGCUUCCGGAGCUAACGCGUUAAAUCGACCGCCUGGGGAGUACGGCCGCAAGGUUAAAACUUAAAUGAAUUGACGGGGUC